UGUCGGAGUCGUAUCAAAAGGUCGACUAGUUUUGUGCAUUUUAUACGACUAUCUUGUUUUAACGUUCGUUGGUCCCAAGGACGAUCUACCGUAUAUAUAUAUGUCGGAGAGUGACUUUCAUUAUUUUCGGCGGACAUGUUCAUUAUAAGUACGUACGUUAUGUCAUCUUACACUUGACUACAUGUAUCAACAUAUUUAUCAACAUAAUCAACAAGUAAUUUAAGUAUCGUGGUUUUUAAAUAUAUAAUGUUUAGCUGCAAUUGAGAACCGCGAUAUUAAAUGGACACCCUACAUAUUAUAAUAAAUUAAAUUAUUACUAUAAAUAUGGAAUAAUAUAUGUAUAUAUUUAUAACAAUUUUGUAAACUUAUUAGCACAAAAAUCAAAAUAAUUUCGAUAAACAAAAUGCAUUUCUACCCAUAGCUCUAAAUACAUUUUUGUAUAAAUGUGUAUGAUAUAGAUCAAUAUAAAGGCACAUAUUUAUGUAUGUUAUAACUCUUUCCUCACACAUACUUUUUUCACAUUCUUUUUUCUCAAUAAAAGUUACCUCUAACAAAGACGCCAAGUCCUUCGAUAACGUCCACCAGAACUAAACCAGAUAAGGCAUUUGCCCCACCAGCAGCAGAAAGCCAGACAAAGAUAAAUCGAAGCACAACUAAGCUUCAGGGGACAUAGUAUUUAGACGUUUAUUCUGUUCAUUUUAUUUUAAGUUAAUGUCUCAUUUAUAAAUAAACGUAAUAUAUUACGUUUCGUGGUUUUCAAAAUAAAUAACAAUUGGCGCAGUCGUUAGCAGGGCCGCAAGGGUGAAGCGCCACAGACCUAUGCGCUGCAGGCGAAAAGGUUGUUUUUUGGGGUGCCACGCCCUUUUUUACAUUUAUUUUAAAAUUAUGCUUUUAAAAAUUUUAUUUUUAUUGAAAAUAAUAAUUAAUAAAUUAUUAAUUAAUAAAAAAAAACAUCUGUAAUCUGUCACCUUAAACUAGAACUUUUAUUAGGUUAAAUGUUAAAUAUAGGUGUUUUUCUUAAUUUAACGGUAGCAAGUUCUUUUAUAACUUCAUCAAAAUCGAUUUUGUCAACCAACUCCUGCUCUAUAGCUAAUACUGCUAGCCCAGAUAGUCUCUCGUGAUACCUAGUUGAUUGAAGAAAAUCUUUUAUUAUUUUUAAUUUUAAAAAUGACGGCUCUAGAAGCCGCAGAUACUGGUAAAGUUAAGAGUAUUCUUAAGGAAAUUGUAACAUUUGGCAGAGAUGAGGUUAAAUUGUGUUCAAAUAUAUAUUGCAAUAUAUCCAGAGGAUUUAAAGAAUGAGGAAUUGAAAAUAACUUUAAAGGUUUAAUCUCAUUAAACAAAACAUCUGCCUCAAUAUCAGCCUUUACCUCUACCGCAUCAGUAAGCUUCUGUUGUAGAGCUUGGCAGUUGUUUAGGAGAGCAUCAUCACAUACUAGUACUUGAUCAAUAGUACUUGAACUCAAAAAAAAAUUAACUUAACGCGGUUUUGAGAUUUUGAGGUGCUUUAUCCCUAUGUUCAUAAUCAAGAAACUUAAUCUAAAAUAAAACAUCAUACCAAAUAAUUACACUACAAAUGAAUUCAAAUGUUUUGAUAUUUAAUAGUAAAAAACUUGCUUUAUGCCUACUUUCUAUGUAAAAAAAUCGUUAUCCGCUAUUUCUAGAAAACUCUUACAAAUUUUAAUUAAAUUAAAUUUUAUUGGCUUUAUAGCAUCUACCCUACUUGACCAUCUAGUUUUUGUAAGCCAAUAUGCUUACCACGCAUAUUGGCACCGUUAUUAUACCCUUGACCUCUCAUAACUUAGUCCUUUUCCUGUAGAAUCGAAUAUUGGGCUAAAAGCUAAAAAACUCUCUUGUAUCUGAACUUUUUUACAAUCAUGAUUUAACACCACAUAACGCAAAACAAGGCUUAUUUGUUUUGUGUGACUGUAUCUGGGGUACAGUACAUAAUUAUUAAAUAAUAUUUGGAAUUGCGUACCAUAUUUAAAAUAUUAUUUUUUACUUUAGAAGACAUUAAUUCUACAAUUUGAUAGCCUAAAUAAUGGGUUUUUUUUUAAAGAAUUUUACUGGGAGUUCUGAAUUCUAUUAAGAUGUUCUCUCAUCACAGGGUCAAAUGAGGAAAUCAUCUCGAUCGCCUUUAAAAAAUUCCGUUAUCAGGUUGAAAAAGUAUUUUAGAAGAACCCCGAAAUGCUAGACAUUGUCGGGACAAAAAUUUUACGACUGCAAGAAUUCUUUCCAGAAUAUCAUGAAAAUUUUUUUUUCGGUUUCUAAAAUCCCUAAAUGAUGAUCGUUUACAGUAAUUUAUUUGUUAAGAAACGAUUUUAUUUAAUAUUGCUCGAUCUGUAUAGUUGUUUAUUGUUUGUUUUUAAUUUUGCAAUAGUUUUUUGAACUACUUCUACUCAACCGAUUUUUACAAAACUUUCCGCACAUAUUUUAGUAGGUUUCCGUGAAAAUAUUAUAUUAUUAUAUUUUAUGUUUAACCCUUGGUUUAAGCCCACAGUAUCAACCCCUGAGCAAGGGUGAGAGCUGCCUUCAAAUGUUUAAAUUAGAAGGAGAUCAAGUGAUAAGUGAUACCUCGUUUUAAAGGUCUUUUUAUCCUGAAUUUAAUGUUGUAGUCGUAGAGUACAGAAAAUUCUAGUCAAGUAAGAAACUAAGAACAAAAAAAUAGAAAGUAUAGGUAAAAAUAUUUUUAAGAUACAUUUAACAAUUAAAAAUAAAAACGUGGAGGCGCAAAAUUAAAUUAAUUGUUAAUUUUUAAAGAGGUUAGAAUUUUUAGAAAGUCUUAUAAUGUGUCCUAAUUUUUAUUUUCAGGUGUUUAGUACACGAGAUUCUAUUUAAAGUAGUAGUUUAACUUCAUCCUGCGCAUUAUUAUAUAUUUUUUUGCUGGAUUUUAAUUUUUUUUUGCCAAACCUGGCGCUUCUUUCUAGUGGCGUUGCACGCCCGGUUACGGGGACCCUGGUCGUUAGUAGGAUCUGGAAAACGGUACUAGAACACGACAACCAAUCAGGAAUCCCGACGAAUUGUGACGUCAUCACUCACGAUGAACUACGAAAGGAACACCUGGUAGUUAAAUCGGCGUAGAGAACAAGAUGAUCAGCUAGAUGAUUACCUUACUGGGACAGAAAACGAGAGCAACGGAGAGGUCAACUCACAUUGAUGAUGAUCAAGCAUUACCUAGUACUUCAAAUACAUCAACUGUUGGAACUUCUUAUAAUGAAGAUACUCCAAAAAAGAAAAAACUCAGACAGCAGCUAUUAAAACAGGUUAUAAAAAGUAAGGAGAAAUUUUGAAAAAUCAAAGUUUUAGGACAAAAAAUUAAACGAUAUAAGAAAAAAAUUGAUUCUUUAAAACAUUAUACAUCAGUUAAAGUCAACAAAUUUAGUUUCUGAAAAUGUAUUAAUAUUACAAAGAAUGCCGAAAAUUACAAAAGAACUAUUAAAACGUCAAUGGGAAAAGAAAAAAUAUUCAUCAUAUUUACGAAGAUUUACCUUAACAUUCAGUUUUUUCUCUCCAAAAGGUUAUGAUUAUGUGAGACAAAUGUGUGACAAUUAAGUGUUUGAUACAUAUUUACCACAUCAAAGCUCGAUUGGUAAGUGAUUUAAAAAUAUAAAUGCAAGUUCUGGUUUUACUGGUAUCAUGUAGCCGGUAUCUGGUAUCAGAAGCAUUUGAUGUUCUUAAAAAACAUGUUUCUAAAUCAAAUAAAUCAAUCAUUUGGACAUUAUGGUGGUGCGUCGCCGAGCGGAACAUAGGAAAACCAAUGUAAAUUGUAAGGGGGUCAAUUAUUGGCUUUCCUGUACAUUUUAUAGGAAAAAUGUAAGAUAACUUUUUGAAGAGACCAAUCUGGCAAACCCUUGUGCAAAGUUUCAAAAAAUUUUAAUAAGCGAAUCUUGAAUUAUUUAAUUAAAUAUAAUUGCAAAAUUAGCAAAUUUUCGGUUCAGGUAAAACCAAACGGGCACCAGUAAAAUGAAUAUUGUCACUGACGUGAGGAAAAGUGUCAAUUAAUCAGUGACAGUCAAUAUUUGAAAACAAGUAUGAAUUAUUCAAUCGACGGAAAAAUAGCCAUAAUUAAGUGGCAUUAUGCGGGAAACAGUUUUAGAGCGGUAUCUGAAAUGUUUUCAGUUUAUUUCCCCACCAAGCCCAUUCCGUCCAUUUUAACUAUUAAACGUAUUGUCAAUAAGUUCGAGUCCAAAGGUACCGUAAUAAAUAAUUGUAAAUGUUCAACUCAGGAUAUCGAAAAUAGAGCCGAAGAAAGAGAGAACAGAGAUCUUAAUAUUCUACUGAGUGUGGAGUAAAACAAGAUGGUUAGUACGAGGGUUCUUGGGAAAGAGGUAAAUAAACAUCAUACAACGGUAUUGCGCGCUUUAAAAAAACACAAAUAUUAUUCGUAUAAAUCCGAAAAACAUCAAGAGCUGCAGGAAGGAGAUGAAGAGCGAAGAAUGGCAUUUUGUUUUGAAAAGAUGGAAAGAGCAAAUAAAAAUAGGAAUUUUUUAAGAAAUAUUUGUUUUGCCGUCGAAUGUACAUUUACCCUCAACAAUGAACCAAAUGGAGCCAAGAAAAUGAACUUCGCUUUGUUCAUACUCGAUAUCUCAAACACAAUAUCCCCCAAAAACAAAUGUAUUCGUGGGAAUUAUCGGACACCAUAUCAUUGGACCCUUUUUUAUAGACUAUAACCUAACAGCUGAAACCUAAUCAAAUUGAACCCGCCUUGGAAGAAGUUGUUCAGGAAGAUCAAAUGAUCUGAUACCAAAUGGAUGGUUGGCCGGCCCAUAAUGCCCGUAUGGUUAGAGAGUGCUUGGAAAAUGCUUUUAACAGCAAUAAUAUUGGUCCACGGUACCGGAUACUUGGCCAGCCAGGUCACCUGAUCUUUCACCGAAUGACUUCUUUUUGUGGGGUCAUUUAAAAAGUGUCAUUUAUAAAAGUGUAAAAUUUGAGAAUUUAAACUAGUUACAAAAUGCUAUUUCGUUAGAAUGUAAUAAAAUUUCCCAAUAUCAACUUAGUAACGUUAGAAAUGAAUUUUAUGAUCGGUUAGGAUAUUGUUUAGCUGUUAAUGGGGGGUUGUUUGAACAUUUGAUUAAUUGAUGUUUUUAUGUAAUUCUCUAUUUUUAAAAAAGUUAUUAUAUUUUAUUUUAUUUUAUUUUAUUUUUCCACACUUAGUAAAAUAUUAAGAGUUCUGUUCUCUCUUUUUUGGAUCUAUUUUCGAUCUUCUGACUUAAACAUUUACAAUUAUUUAUUGCAAUGUCUUUGGACUCGAAUUUACUAACAAUAGGUUUAAUGGUUGAAAUGGACCAGAUAGGCUUGAUGGGAAAAUAAAUUGAAAAUAUUUCAGAUACUGCUAUUGGUUUAAUUAAAUUCUAAGUAUGGUAAAAUUAUUUUGUUAAUAAUCGAUAAUAAUAAUUGUUAUUGGCUUAACUUCAUCGUUAUAUUAAAUAAAAGUUUACCUAUAUAAAAAAGUAAUGUUAACGUGUCUUACUUUGAAUGUAUGGUUGUGAGAUUGAUAAAACGAAAAAAAACAUUUCUUGUAAUCGGCUGUACGUCAGAUUUGACAAAGCCUUAUAACCAAUCGUUUGCUGGUGGCUGGUGUCUGGUUUUACCUGAACCGAAAAUUUGGUAAUUUUGCAAUUACAUUUAAUUGAAUAAUUCAAGAUUUGGUUAUUCAAAUUUUUUGAAACUUUGCACGAGGGUUUGCCAGAUUGGUCUCUUCAAAAAGUUAUGUUACAUUUUUUCUGUAAAAUGUACAGGGAAGUCAAUAAUUGACCCCCUUAAAAGCGACGCACCACCCGGUAGAAUGGGAGGGGAAAAUUUUACUUUUUUUUAUUAAAAACUUGAUUUUCAAGAUUUAAAGCCAUGUUUUUGGAGAAAAAAAGGUAACAAUAGAUGAGGACGGAAAUCACAUGAAAUAGGAUUAUAUUGAAAAGUUGGAACAAUUACAAAAUUAUAAGGGAAAAUAAGCUAAGCAAAUCUCUUUAACCAAAAAAUGAAAAUUAAACUAGCGAUCCAGUUACUUAGUGAGUCUGUGACAGACUCCUUAAUCUACUGUAAAGAGAAAUUAGGAUUAUAUGAAUUCAAAGGUUGGUUAGGUGCUAAAUUUAUUAAAACAUAUAAUCACAUUUUUGACAUCUUAAAUAGUAGGUCUCUUAUUCCACCAGGAUACAAAAAAGAUCUUUGUUAGAGAAAUAUUGAAAGAAACAUAGUUUUUCUUAAUGAUGCGAUAUUCUAUUUCUGCCAGUUUAAAUUUAGUGAUGGUGAAUUAGUUUUACAUUCUAGAAGGAAGACAGUUUUUACAAGUUUAAUUAUUUCUCUUAAAAGUGCUUUAAUACUCUAUGAUAAUUUUGUCAACGAAAAAAAGUUUAUUUAUCUACCAUUAUA
Molecule: long non-coding RNA, 6363 nt
Filed under: Anthonomus grandis grandis
Lineage: Eukaryota; Metazoa; Arthropoda; Insecta; Coleoptera; Curculionidae
Description: uncharacterized LOC126741723
Source: RNAcentral